Molecule: long non-coding RNA, 322 nt
Filed under: Hordeum vulgare
Lineage: Eukaryota; Viridiplantae; Streptophyta; Magnoliopsida; Poales; Poaceae
Description: long non-coding RNA (HVUL_LNC011450)
Source: RNAcentral
CUCUUCCAGUUGUGACGACAUCUUUUCCACGACGCUGGAUCGGCUGGAUCAUGGCCUUGAUAACUUUUUGCCCGCGAUCAACCACGAUGGGUUGGCUCCGCAAAUCAAUUUAUGGUUGGAUGGUUAGAGACACAGUGGUAUCUUCAGCCCAUCAGGGUUCAAAUCCUGAUGCUUGCAUUAUUUUUGAAUUUAUUUUAGGAUUUUCGGUGACACACUUUCAGUGGAAAAAAACGUUCCAUCGACGACGAGGUGUCUAUGAUGAAUUCGUAAAUCAUAAGAUGAUAUGCCGGCUCAGUCUCUUGAAGAUGUUCAUAGAUAUAGG